AAUGAUGCAUAGCCGAUGUGAGAGACUGGCCGGCCGCAUUGGGACUGAGACACGGCCCAAACUCCUACGGGAGGCAGCAGUAGGGAAUCUUCCACAAUGGACGCAAGUCUGAUGGAGCAACGCCGCGUGAGUGAAGAAGGUUUUCGGAUCGUAAAGCUCUGUUGUUGGUGAAGAAGGAUAGAGGUAGUAACUGGCCUUUAUUUGACGGUAAUCAACCAGAAAGUCACGGCUAACUACGUGCCAGCAGCCGCGGUAAUACGUAGGUGGCAAGCGUUGUCCGGACUUAUUGGGCGUAAAGCGAGCGCAGGCGGAAGAAUAAGUCUGAUGUGAAAGCCCUCGGCUUAACCGAGGAACUGCAUCGGAAACUGUUUUUCUUGAGUGCAGAAGAGGAGAGUGGAACUCCAUGUGUAGCGGUGGAAUGCGUAGAUAUAUGGAAGAACACCAGUGGCGAAGGCGACUCUCUGGUCUGCAACUGACGCUGAGGCUCGAAAGCAUGGGUAGCGAACAGGAUUAGAUACCCUGGUAGUCCAUGCCGUAAACGAUGAGUGCUAAGUGUUGGGAGGUUUCCGCCUCUCAGUGCUGCAGCUAACGCAUUAAGCACUCCGCCUGGGGAGUACGACCGCAAGGUUGAAACUCAAAGGAAUUUGACGGGGGCCCGCCACAAGCGGUGGAGCAUGUGGAUUAAUUCGAAGCAACGCGAGACCUUACCAGUCUUGA
RNAcentral lists this ribosomal RNA (717 nucleotides) under uncultured bacterium. RNAcentral describes it as "bacterial SSU rRNA". It matches the Rfam family "Bacterial small subunit ribosomal RNA", at positions 275 to 984 of the family's 1533-position model. The record is from RNAcentral.